Molecule: ribosomal RNA, 500 nt
Filed under: uncultured bacterium
Lineage: Bacteria
Description: partial 16S ribosomal RNA
Rfam family: Bacterial small subunit ribosomal RNA
Source: RNAcentral
AUUGAACGCUGGCGGAAUGCUUUACACAUGCAAGUCGAACGGCAGCACGGACUUCGGUCUGGUGGCGAGUGGCGAACGGGUGAGUAAUGUAUCGGAACGUGCCCAGUCGUGGGGGAUAACGUAGUGAAAAUUACGCUAAUACCGCAUACGAUCUAUGGAUGAAAGCGGGGGAUCGCAAGACCUCGCGCGAUUGGAGCGGCCGAUAUCAGAUUAGGUAGUUGGUGGGGUAAAGGCCCACCAAGCCAACGAUCUGUAGCUGGUCUGAGAGGACGACCAGCCACACUGGAACUGAGAAACGGUCCAGAAUCCUACGGGGGGCAGCAGUGGGGAAUUUUGGACAAUGGGCGAAAGCCUGAUCCAGCCAUUCCGCGUGCAGGAUGAAGGCCCUCGGGUUGUAAACUGCUUUUGUACAGAACGAAAAGGUUUCUACUAAUACUAGGAGCUCAUGACGGUCCUGUAAGAAUAAGCACCGGCUAACUACGUGCCAGCCGCCGCCGUAA